This 207-nucleotide ribosomal RNA is filed under the name uncultured bacterium. RNAcentral describes it as "partial 16S ribosomal RNA". It matches the Rfam family "Bacterial small subunit ribosomal RNA", at positions 1292 to 1500 of the family's 1533-position model. The record is from RNAcentral.
UUCGGAUUGAAGGCUGAAAUUCGCCUUCAUGAAGUCGGAAUUGCUGUAAUGGCAGGUCAGCAUACUGCCGUGAAUACGUUCCCGGGCCUUGUACACACCGCCCGUCACACCAUGAGAGUUGGAGAUACCCGAAGCCUAUGAGCUAACUUUUAGAGGCAGUAGUCGAAGGUAGAAUCAAUGAUUGGGGUGAAGUCGUAACAAGGUAUC